AUACCAACCUGACAGAGGAGAUACCAUGAUCAUGAAGAUGGUUUUCCCAGGGUAAGGCUUAUCCAUCUCACUUCUGCGAUUUCCCCAAAUGUGGGAAACUUGACUGCACAUUUUUUGAUAGUGGAGGACUGUGAUCACAUUUUCCCCUA
Molecule: small nuclear RNA, 149 nt
Organism: Camelus dromedarius (Arabian camel)
Lineage: Eukaryota; Metazoa; Chordata; Mammalia; Artiodactyla; Camelidae
Gene: U1
Rfam family: U1 spliceosomal RNA
About the family: U1 is a small nuclear RNA (snRNA) component of the spliceosome (involved in pre-mRNA splicing).
Source: Ensembl